RNAcentral lists this small nucleolar RNA (105 nucleotides) under Nelumbo nucifera (sacred lotus). Its description in RNAcentral is "Small nucleolar RNA Z107/R87". It matches the Rfam family "Small nucleolar RNA Z107/R87". Rfam says of the family: Z107 and R87 are members of the C/D class of snoRNA which contain the C (UGAUGA) and D (CUGA) box motifs. Most of the members of the box C/D family function in directing site-specific 2'-O-methylation of substrate RNA Lineage: Eukaryota; Viridiplantae; Streptophyta; Magnoliopsida; Proteales; Nelumbonaceae. The record is from Rfam by way of RNAcentral.
GAUUGCAGUGAUGACUCAGAAAUUUCAAGCUCAACAGACCGGAAUGCAGGCUUCUCUCUUUCAGAAGAAGCUUGCGUGUCGACUACCCCGCUGAACUGAGCGAUC